Molecule: ribosomal RNA, 253 nt
Filed under: uncultured bacterium
Lineage: Bacteria
Description: partial 16S ribosomal RNA
Rfam family: Bacterial small subunit ribosomal RNA
Source: RNAcentral
UACGGAGGGUGCAAGCGUUAUCCGGAUUCACUGGGUUUAAAGGGUGCGUAGGUGGGUUGGUAAGUCCGUGGUGAAAUCCCUGAGCUUAACUCAGGAACUGCCGUGGAUACUAUCAAUCUUGAAUGCUGUGGAGGUAAGCGGAAUAUGUCAUGUAGCGGUGAAAUGCUUAGAUAUGACAUAGAACACCAAUUGCGAAGGCAGCUUGCUACACGGUUAUUGACACUGAGGCACGAAAGCGUGGGGAUCAAACAGG